This is a small nucleolar RNA of Gossypium arboreum, 107 nucleotides long. It matches the Rfam family "Plant small nucleolar RNA R71". From Rfam's summary of the family: R71 is a member of the C/D box family of snoRNAs containing the C (UGAUGA) and D (CUGA) box motifs. The record is from Rfam. NCBI's taxonomy places the organism in Eukaryota, Viridiplantae, Streptophyta, Magnoliopsida, Malvales, Malvaceae.
AACCUAUGAUGAGGGCACUUACAAAGUAACUCAUUAAAUCGCUCCCAAGCCUCAUACAGAGACUCGUUAUCCAAUUGUUAGAAAGUUGUGAUCUUGUUCUUCAACUU